RNAcentral lists this small RNA (29 nucleotides) under Bombyx mori (domestic silkworm). RNAcentral describes it as "ovarian small RNA-27740". The record is from RNAcentral. Lineage: Eukaryota; Metazoa; Arthropoda; Insecta; Lepidoptera; Bombycidae.
UCCUAUUAUUUCGGUUAUGUCGCCAGCCC